UGGGGAAUUUUGGACAAUGGGCGAAAGCCUGAUCCAGCAAUGCCGCGUGUGUGAAGAAGGCCUUCGGGUUGUAAAGCACUUUUGUCCGGAAAGAAAUCCUUGGCUCUAAUACAGUCGGGGGAUGACGGUACCGGAAGAAUAAGCACCGGCUAACUACGUGCCAGCAGCCGCGGUAAUACGUAGGGUGCAAGCGUUAAUCGGAAUUACUGGGCGUAAAGCGUGCGCAGGCGGUUUGCUAAGACCGAUGUGAAAUCCCCGGGCUCAACCUGGGAACUGCAUUGGGUGACUGGCAGGCUAGAGUAUGGCAGAGGGGGGUAGAAUUCCACGUGUAGCAGUGAAAUGCGUAGAGAUGUGGAGGAAUACCGAUGGCGAAGGCAGCCCCCUGGGCCAAUACUGACGCUCAUGCACGAAAGCGUGGGGGAGCAAACAGGAUUAGAUACCCCUGGGUAGUCCACGCCCCUAAACGAUGUCAACUAGUUGUUGGGGAUUCAUUUCCUUAGUAACGUAGCUAACGCGUGAAGUUGACCGCCUGGGGAGUACGGUCGCAAGAUUAAACUUAAUGAAUUGACGGGGUCAUAGCUGUUUCCU
This 588-nucleotide ribosomal RNA is filed under the name uncultured bacterium. RNAcentral describes it as "partial 16S ribosomal RNA". It matches the Rfam family "Bacterial small subunit ribosomal RNA", at positions 355 to 1375 of the family's 1533-position model. The record is from RNAcentral.